UGCUCGCACGCGAGUCACGGACCAAUCAAGGUUCACGGCGAAACAAAUGUGAUACGCGUACUCUUCAUUGAGAACCGUAUGGGUUGAUCCAGAGAGCUUUGUUUUCUCAGGCGCAAACCCGGGGUCCGUUAAGCUGGGUGCAACGCUGACACACGUCCACCAUUGGUUGCGUGUGCGGCAUGCAUCGGGCGGCGGGCACCUUGAGCGUGUGGGUAAGUACCCGAAAGAUGGUGAUCUAUGCGUGGCCAGGGUGAAGCCAGAGGAAACUCUGGUGGAGGCCCGAAGCGAUUCUGACGUGCAAAUCGAUCGUCUGAGCUGCGUAUAGGGGCGAAAGACCAAUCGAACCAUCUAGUAGCUGGUUCCCUCCGAAGUUUCCCUCAGGAUAGCUGGCGCCUUUGGAGGAGUUUCAUCUGGUAAAGAGAAUGAUUAGGGGUCGUGGGGAUGAAAGAUCCUCAGCCCAUUCUCAAACUCUAAAUGGGUGAGAAGCCGGACUUGCUUGAUUGAAGUCACGGAUAUCGAAUCCAGGUGCCUAGUGGGCCUGUUUUGGUAAGCAGAACUGGCGAUGUGGGAUGAACCAAACGUCGAGCUAAGGGGCCUAAGUGUUGGCUCAUCGGAUAACGUUAAAGGUGUCAGUCGCUACAGACAGCAGGACGGUGGCCAUGGAAGUUGCC
This 671-nucleotide ribosomal RNA is filed under the name Paratanais sp. RNAcentral's name for it is "eukaryotic LSU rRNA". It matches the Rfam family "Eukaryotic large subunit ribosomal RNA", at positions 677 to 1265 of the family's 3401-position model. Lineage: Eukaryota; Metazoa; Arthropoda; Malacostraca; Tanaidacea; Paratanaidae. The record is from RNAcentral.